UUCAUGACUAGUUUCCAUGUCCUUGGAGUGAAAUUUCUGUGAAUCUGCAUUGAGAAUUAGAUUUGAUAUAAUCUUGCUUGGUUUGACUUGAGUACUAGCUCACAAAACUUCAACCUAAGGCAAAUUUUCUAAGUUUAUGAUAGUUAUGUGUGUGUAUUGAUGCACAAAAAUGCAUUGAUGUGCAUUCUUGUAGGAGCUUAUUCAACUCUGACUUAUAACAUGUUACAGAGUGGAUGGUUCAGAUAAAGAAUCAAAGAUUUCAGAUGAUGAUUAUGGCAAGACGUUACUGCUUGUGACGAGUUCUCCACUUAGAUUUGAUCGAUAACUCUAACCACACAAUAAUAGUGCUGAAUUGAGAUAGAAAUUUAAUGAUGCUUAAGAUCAAUAAUGGUGACGACGAGAGGCUCCAUCUAAGUCGACGAAGAAGACAAUAUAUAUUAGAGUUCAUGAACUCAACGUCGGUUUAGUAGUUUCAACCUAUAGAGGAAAAAUAAAAACAGAUCAAAGAUAAUCAAAUAAAAACCAAUCGUUGGAGAGAGAUUUGUUUACCCCUUCACGUGGAUGCUAUUAUUAAAAGACGGCUACGUCUAUGAAUUUGAUGAGCUAACAGCUGAAGGCGACGAACAGAUCACGACUAUGACUCUUUUGAUGAGCUAAGAACGGAAGAAGGUGACUAUAGCUUGUUCAAUAUAUAAUUUUGAGAAGAUGUGGGGAUGCUAAAUCCUAUUUUUAUUUUUAUUAUUAUCCACAAAUUUUAUUUGAGUAAAUCUUAUUAA
This 776-nucleotide small RNA is filed under the name Arabidopsis thaliana (thale cress). RNAcentral describes it as "ATSL193500". The record is from RNAcentral. Lineage: Eukaryota; Viridiplantae; Streptophyta; Magnoliopsida; Brassicales; Brassicaceae.